RNAcentral lists this ribosomal RNA (40 nucleotides) under Acacia ramulosa. Its description in RNAcentral is "partial 18S ribosomal RNA". Lineage: Eukaryota; Viridiplantae; Streptophyta; Magnoliopsida; Fabales; Fabaceae. The record is from RNAcentral.
GGUUGAUCCUGCCAGUAGUCAUAUGCUUGUCUCAAAGAUU